AUUGAACGCUGGCGGCAGGCCUAACACAUGCAAGUCGAGCGGAUGAAGGGAGCUUGCUCCUGGAUUCAGCGGCGGACGGGUGAGUAAUGCCUAGGAAUCUGCCUGGUAGUGGGGGAUAACGUCCGGAAACGGGCGCUAAUACCGCAUACGUCCUGAGGGAGGAAGUGGGGGAUCUUCGGACCUCACGCUAUCAGAUGAGCCUAGGUCGGAUUAGCUAGUUGGUGGGGUAAAGGCCUACCAAGGCGACGAUCCGUAACUGGUCUGAGAGGAUGAUCAGUCACACUGGAACUGAGACACGGUCCAGAUUCCUACGGGAGGCAGCAGUGGGGAAUAUUGGACAAUGGGCGAAAGCCUGAUCCAGCCAUGCCGCGUGUGUGAAGAAGGUCUUCGGAUUGUAAAGCACUUUAAGUUGGGAGGAAGGGCAGUAAGUUAAUACCUUGCUGUUUUGACGUUACCAACAGAAUAAGCACCGGCUAACUUCGUG
Molecule: ribosomal RNA, 484 nt
Filed under: uncultured bacterium
Lineage: Bacteria
Description: partial 16S ribosomal RNA
Rfam family: Bacterial small subunit ribosomal RNA
Source: RNAcentral